This 468-nucleotide ribosomal RNA is filed under the name uncultured bacterium. RNAcentral's name for it is "partial 16S ribosomal RNA". It matches the Rfam family "Bacterial small subunit ribosomal RNA", at positions 28 to 507 of the family's 1533-position model. The record is from RNAcentral.
GACGAACGCUGGCGGCGUGCUUAACACAUGCGAGUCGAACGGAAAGGCCCUGCUUUUGUGGGGUGCUCGAGUGGCGAACGGGUGAGUAACACGUGAGUAACCUGCCCUUGACUUUGGGAUAACUUCAGGAAACUGGGGCUAAUACCGGAUAGGAGCUCCUGCUGCAUGGUGGGGGUUGGAAAGUUUCGGCGGUUGGGGAUGGACUCGCGGCUUAUCAGCUUGUUGGUGGGGUAGUGGCUUACCAAGGCUUUGACGGGUAGCCGGCCUGAGAGGGUGACCGGCCACAUUGGGACUGAGAGACGGCGCAGACGCCUACGGGAGGCAGCAGGGGGGAAUAUUGCACAAUGGGCGGAAGCCUGAUGCAGCAACGCCGCGUGCGGGAUGACGGCCUUCGGGUUGUAAACCGCUGUCGCCUGUGACGAAGCGUGAGUGACGGUAAUGGGUAAAGAAGCACCGGCUAACUACGUG